RNAcentral lists this long non-coding RNA (910 nucleotides) under Struthio camelus australis. Its description in RNAcentral is "lncRNA (ENSSCUG00000006487.1)". The record is from RNAcentral. Lineage: Eukaryota; Metazoa; Chordata; Aves; Struthioniformes; Struthionidae.
UGCUCCCUGGCCAGGCGUGGGGCGGUGUAGGGCGUCUGUCCAGUGGAGGAGGCAAACAGGAAAGAGAAGGUGGCAAAAGUUGGUCGCAGUGAGGCCGCCCAGGCAGUCAGUGGUGUGGAAGUGUUCUUGUGCAGUCUGAGAACAUGGGAGUGAAUCAGUGAAACACCACCUUAAAGAUUAAGUGAAGUUUUCCUCCCUAGCAACCACAAGUGGCAUGUUUACUGAGUGAAAACAGGACAUUUUGGAGCAAGGCUGUCCUGGUGUUUGAGGUGUUUUUUCUUAGCUGAAGAAGUUCUUGUCAGAUGGAAGCACUGAUCUCCUGAGCUUCCAUCUUAUGGAAGAGGUGGAAACUGCAUCAGUCUCCUAUUUCCAUUUUUUUUUCUUCUGCUAAAAGCUUCCCCACUCCAUCCUACACUUGACAAGUCCCUGCUUAUUCCUUUCUUCUGACUUGAUUUGGAGACUUGAAGGACUGCUUUACAUCAGGGGAGCUUCAGGCCCCAUGUAGAGAAGUUGCAGCAGAGCAGCGCUGAUGGACAGGAUUGCUGCUUGUGCCUUGCUCACUGCAGUCCCCGUUCCCCUAUGAGGAACUGCAGAGAGUUGCUGUUUCUCAGGACAGCGAGUGAGAAUGGAGUCCUGGAGCCCUCUGGUGGAGGCAUGUAGAAAAGAAGACAGCUGAAAAUGAUCUUGUUCUGCUAAGGAAGCCUCAAGCUUGACUUCUGAGGAGUGUUCAGGAACUAUUUUGUUGAGUUCCAAUUAAGAACUGUUUCUGACACCAGGAGAUGCGGAGGUCAAAGAGUGCCCUGAGCAGUAUAGCAGUAGACCACAUGGAGCAUAGAUAAAAGGUAAGAAAAUGGCAUAAUUGUUAAACAGAUCAGAACAUUCUUGAAGACAUGAAAGGACUCUGAAUUUG